This 495-nucleotide ribosomal RNA is filed under the name Marinovum algicola. Its description in RNAcentral is "bacterial SSU rRNA". It matches the Rfam family "Bacterial small subunit ribosomal RNA", at positions 394 to 907 of the family's 1533-position model. Lineage: Bacteria; Pseudomonadati; Pseudomonadota; Alphaproteobacteria; Rhodobacterales; Roseobacteraceae. The record is from RNAcentral.
AUGCCGCGUGAGUGAUGAAGGCCUUAGGGUCGUAAAGCUCUUUCGCCAGGGAUGAUAAUGACAGUACCUGGUAAAGAAACCCCGGCUAACUCCGUGCCAGCAGCCGCGGUAAUACGGAGGGGGUUAGCGUUGUUCGGAAUUACUGGGCGUAAAGCGCGCGUAGGCGGAUCAGAAAGUUGGGGGUGAAAUCCCGGGGCUCAACCCUGGAACUGCCUCCAAAACUCCUGGUCUUGAGUUCGAGAGAGGUGAGUGGAAUUCCGAGUGUAGAGGUGAAAUUCGUAGAUAUUCGGAGGAACACCAGUGGCGAAGGCGGCUCACUGGCUCGAUACUGACGCUGAGGUGCGAAAGUGUGGGGAGCAAACAGGAUUAGAUACCCUGGUAGUCCACACCGUAAACGAUGAAUGCCAGUCGUCGGGUAGCAUGCUAUUCGGUGACACACCUAACGGAUUAAGCAUUCCGCCUGGGGAGUACGGUCGCAAGAUUAAAACUCAAAGG